Molecule: ribosomal RNA, 489 nt
Filed under: uncultured Alphaproteobacteria bacterium
Lineage: Bacteria; Pseudomonadati; Pseudomonadota; Alphaproteobacteria
Description: bacterial SSU rRNA
Rfam family: Bacterial small subunit ribosomal RNA
Source: RNAcentral
CACGCUCUGCGGCGCUACACAUGCAGUCGAACGAAGUAGCAUACUUAGUGGCAGACGGGUGAGUUACAUGUGGGUAUCUUGCCCUUUGGCCUGGAAUAACACGAGGAAACUUGUGCUAAUACCGGAUAAGUCUUUACGUGAGAAAGCUUUAUGCACCAUUGGAUGAGCCCGCACUUGAUUAGUUUGUUGGUGGGGUAAUGGGCUACCCAGACUGUGAUCCAUAGCUGAUUUGAGAGGAUGAUCAGCCACAUUGUGACUGAGACACGGGCCAAAACCCUACGGGAGGGCAGCAACUGGGGAAUCUUGCACACAUGGAGGAAACUCUGAUGCAGCGAUGCCGCGUGAGUGAAGAAAGGCCUUUGGGUUGUAAAGCUCUUUCCUCCGGGAAAAAACUGACUGUACCCCCAAUUAGAAGGGUCCGGGCUAACUUUCGUGCCCCACAAGAGCGCGGGUAAAUACGAAAGGGGACCUCAGCAGUAAGUUCGCGAA